UGGGGAAUUUUGGACAAUGGGCGCAAGCCUGAUCCAGCAAUGCCGCGUGCAGGAUGAAGGCCUUCGGGUUGUAAACUGCUUUUAUACGGGAAGAACCCCCCGACGUGUCGGGGACUGACGGUACCGUACGAAUAAGCAUCGGCUAACUACGUGCCAGCAGCCGCGGUAAUACGUAGGGUGCGAGCGUUAAUCGGAAUUACUGGGCGUAAAGCGUGCGCAGGCGGUUAUAUAAGACAGAUGUGAAAUCCCCGGGCUCAACCUGGGACCUGCAUUUGUGACUGUAUAGCUAGAGUACGGUAGAGGGGGAUGGAAUUCCGCGUGUAGCAGUGAAAUGCGUAGAUAUGCGGAGGAACACCGAUGGCGAAGGCAAUCCCCUGGACCUGUACUGACGCUCAUGCACGAAAGCGUGGGGAGCAAACAGG
Molecule: ribosomal RNA, 422 nt
Filed under: uncultured bacterium
Lineage: Bacteria
Description: bacterial SSU rRNA
Rfam family: Bacterial small subunit ribosomal RNA
Source: RNAcentral